RNAcentral lists this ribosomal RNA (420 nucleotides) under Acidovorax sp. RNAcentral describes it as "bacterial SSU rRNA". It matches the Rfam family "Bacterial small subunit ribosomal RNA", at positions 58 to 478 of the family's 1533-position model. Lineage: Bacteria; Pseudomonadati; Pseudomonadota; Betaproteobacteria; Burkholderiales; Comamonadaceae. The record is from RNAcentral.
CAAGUCGAACGGUAACUUGUCUUCUUGAUGCUGACCAGUGGCGUACGGGUGAGUAACCUUCCCGAACGUGCCCGAACAGCGCAGGAUAACGAAACCAAAUCUUUGCUGAUACCGCAUACGAUCUCAUGAUGAAAGCAGGGGACCGCACGGCCUUGCACUCACGGAGCGGCCGAUGGCAGAUUAGGUAGUUGGAGGGAUAAAAGCUUACCAAGCCGACUAUCUGUACCUGGUCUGACAGGACCACCACCCACACUGGGACUGAAACACGGCCCAGACUCCUACGGGAGGCAGCAGUGGGGAAUUUUGGACAAUGGGCGCAAGCCUGAUCCAGCCAUGCCACGUGCAAGAUGAUUCCCUUCGGGUUGUAAACUGCUUUUGUACAGAACAAAAAGACUCCUUCUAAUAGAGGGGGUCCGUGAC